UUGGUUUAUAGUUUAUGUUGCCAUAAUCGAUAGAGCAUCGAUACAUAGUUCACUAAAAGAUAUUGAAAAGUCAUGGAUUUGUGGUUGACUGGGAAAUCUUAACGUGGUGAUUGAAAAGUAGUGGAUUUAUAGUUGACCGCGCGACGACGUUUGAACUGUCCAGUUCAUUUUCAGCAACAGUUCAGUCAGACCAACGGGGGUGUUCAGCUCUCUGUCAAGUUCACUCCUCCUUAAUGGUGCCACUUCACUCUGCUACUGGAUGGUGGAGGGCUAACUGCGAACGGGUGGUCUAUGAAUGCUAUACUGAAUGGAUGGCAGGGAAGCACAACACACGUGAAUUUCUAAAUGAAGAAGAGUUAAUAAAUGCACUUGAUUUUCAAACUGA
Molecule: long non-coding RNA, 385 nt
Organism: Alosa sapidissima (American shad)
Lineage: Eukaryota; Metazoa; Chordata; Actinopteri; Clupeiformes; Clupeidae
Exons: 2
Source: RefSeq, a predicted model, not a curated record